RNAcentral lists this ribosomal RNA (1065 nucleotides) under Leuconostoc mesenteroides. Its description in RNAcentral is "bacterial SSU rRNA". It matches the Rfam family "Bacterial small subunit ribosomal RNA", at positions 27 to 1084 of the family's 1533-position model. Lineage: Bacteria; Bacillati; Bacillota; Bacilli; Lactobacillales; Lactobacillaceae. The record is from RNAcentral.
GGGUGGCCGCUGAGUAUAAUGCGGUCGACGCACAGCGAAAGGUGCUUGCACCUUUCAAGUGAGUGGCGAACGGGUGAGUAACACGUGGACAACCUGCCUCAAGGCUGGGGAUAACAUUUGGAAACAGAUGCUAAUACCGAAUAAAACUUAGUGUCGCAUGACACAAAGUUAAAAGGCGCUUCGGCGUCACCUAGAGAUGGAUCCGCGGUGCAUUAGUUAGUUGGUGGGGUAAAGGCCUACCAAGACAAUGAUGCAUAGCCGAGUUGAGAGACUGAUCGGCCACAUUGGGACUGAGACACGGCCCAAACUCCUACGGGAGGCUGCAGUAGGGAAUCUUCCACAAUGGGCGAAAGCCUGAUGGAGCAACGCCGCGUGUGUGAUGAAGGCUUUCGGGUCGUAAAGCACUGUUGUAUGGGAAGAACAGCUAGAAUAGGAAAUGAUUUUAGUUUGACGGUACCAUACCAGAAAGGGACGGCUAAAUACGUGCCAGCAGCCGCGGUAAUACGUAUGUCCCGAGCGUUAUCCGGAUUUAUUGGGCGUAAAGCGAGCGCAGACGGUUUAUUAAGUCUGAUGUGAAAGCCCGGAGCUCAACUCCGGAAUGGCAUUGGAAACUGGUUAACUUGAGUGCAGUAGAGGUAAGUGGAACUCCAUGUGUAGCGGUGGAAUGCGUAGAUAUAUGGAAGAACACCAGUGGCGAAGGCGGCUUACUGGACUGCAACUGACGUUGAGGCUCGAAAGUGUGGGUAGCAAACAGGAUUAGAUACCCUGGUAGUCCACACCGUAAACGAUGAACACUAGGUGUUAGGAGGUUUCCGCCUCUUAGUGCCGAAGCUAACGCAUUAAGUGUUCCGCCUGGGGAGUACGACCGCAAGGUUGAAACUCAAAGGAAUUGACGGGGACCCGCACAAGCGGUGGAGCAUGUGGUUUAAUUCGAAGCAACGCGAAGAACCUUACCAGGUCUUGACAUCCUUUGAAGCUUUUAGAGAUAGAAGUGUUCUCUUCGGAGACAAAGUGACAGGUGGUGCAUGGUCGUCGUCAGCUCGUGUCGUGAGAUGUUGGGUUAAG